RNAcentral lists this ribosomal RNA (253 nucleotides) under uncultured bacterium. Its description in RNAcentral is "partial 16S ribosomal RNA". It matches the Rfam family "Bacterial small subunit ribosomal RNA", at positions 524 to 776 of the family's 1533-position model. The record is from RNAcentral.
GACGUAGGGCGCGAGCGUUGUCCGGAUUUAUUGGGCGUAAAGAGCUCGUAGGCGGCUUGUCGCGUCGACCGUGAAAACUCGCAGCUCAACUGCGAGCCUGCGGUCGAUACGGGCAGGCUAGAGUUCGGUAGGGGAGACUGGGAUUCCUGGUGUAGCGGUGAAAUGCGCAGAUAUCAGGAGGAACACCGGUGGCGAAGGCGGGUCUCUGGGCCGAUACUGACGCUGAGGAGCGAAAGCGUGGGGAGCGAACAGG